RNAcentral lists this ribosomal RNA (686 nucleotides) under unidentified microorganism. RNAcentral's name for it is "bacterial SSU rRNA". It matches the Rfam family "Bacterial small subunit ribosomal RNA", at positions 53 to 719 of the family's 1533-position model. The record is from RNAcentral.
ACAUGCAAGUCGAGCGAAUGGAUUAAGAGCUUGCUCUUAUGAAGUUAGCGGCGGACGGGUGAGUAACACGUGGGUAACCUGCCCAUAAGACUGGGAUAACUCCGGGAAACCGGGGCUAAUACCGGAUAACAUUUUGAACNGCAUGGUUCGAAAUUGAAAGGCGGCUUCGGCUGUCACUUAUGGAUGGACCCGCGUCGCAUUAGCUAGUUGGUGAGGUAACGGCUCACCAAGGCNACGAUGCGUAGCCGACCUGAGAGGGUGAUCGGCCACACUGGGACUGAGACACGGCCCAGACUCCUACGGGAGGCAGCAGUAGGGAAUCUUCCGCAAUGGACGAAAGUCUGACGGAGCAACGCCGCGUGAGUGAUGAAGGCUUUCGGGUCGUAAAACUCUGUUGUUAGGGAAGAACAAGUGCUAGUUGAAUAAGCUGGCACCUUGACGGUACCUAACCAGAAAGCCACGGCUAACUACGUGCCAGCAGCCGCGGUAAUACGUAGGUGGCAAGCGUUAUCCGGAAUUAUUGGGCGUAAAGCGCGCGCAGGUGGUUUCUUAAGUCUGAUGUGAAAGCCCACGGCUCAACCGUGGAGGGUCAUUGGAAACUGGGAGACUUGAGUGCAGAAGAGGAAAGUGGAAUUCCAUGUGUAGCGGUGAAAUGCGUAGAGAUAUGGAGGAACACCAGUGGCGAA